Molecule: long non-coding RNA, 926 nt
Organism: Pteropus alecto (black flying fox)
Lineage: Eukaryota; Metazoa; Chordata; Mammalia; Chiroptera; Pteropodidae
Exons: 2
Source: RefSeq, a predicted model, not a curated record
UAACUGCCGAUGCAGAGCCACAGAGAAGCCGAAGAGGCUCCCUGGCUCGCCCUCCUUUCUCAGGGCGCCCAUCACAUCCAGAUUGAAGGCGACAGCCCCUGGGGAGAGCAGUCCGAGGAGCAGGGAACCAAGAAGAGCCACAGACAAUAGAGAAGGGCUGAAGUGAAAACACAGAAGAGUAAAAUCAAGAUAGAACCUGGAACUCCCAACUCAGCCCAGCCAGAAUCGGAAUGCCUUUAGAACCCCGACUGCCUUCCUCUCUGCACCUGCAGCUUCUGCCUCCCUCCAGCUCCACUCCACUGGCUCUUGCUAAAUCCAAGGCUGAAAUCAGAUGCUAAGAAUCUACUUCUGACCUCCUCUGCCCAAAUAUUUGAGAAGUCACCUCAUGGCCACAGGAGGAAAGAGCAGGAAAGAAGAGAGAAAGGCCACCCAAAAUUAGCCUGGCUAUAAAUAGUGGGGCAGAGGAAGGCGGGGACAUGCAAGGGCCCUAGAGCAGCCUGGUUAAGUUUAGACAUGUAGAUUUUCCUGAAGGAGAAGUGAGACCAAUUGUUGGAGUGGAGAGCAAUAUCAUAGGAAUAUUGUAGAUGAAGGGGGGAAUGAAGAUUCUAGAAGUAUCCCAAGACUGGAGGAAGUUGAACAUUAGAAUAAACAACCUGUCAGAGAACUUCUUGUAUUUGAGUCGAGAGUUUAGGAAUUCAUUAAAUUAAAGCUAGUGCUGACGCUAUUUGAUUCCACUCAUUAAAACAUUGUAAAAAUGAUAAAACUAUAAAGAUGAAGAACAGAUUAGUGAUUGCCAGGGGACAGGAAUAGGAGGAGUGAAUAUAAAAGGAUAGCACUGGGAGUUACUUUGUGGUGAUGAAGGAAUUCUGUACCUUGAUUUUGGCAAUGGUUAUUUGAAUCUAUCCAAAUAAAUUGGAAUAAAAUUA